GACGAACCGUGCGAACGUUGUUCGGAAUCACUGGGCUUAAAGGGCGCGUAGGCGGUCCAUCAAGUCGGGGGUGAAAUCUUUCGGCUCAACCGGAAAACUGCCUUCGAUACUGAUGGGCUAGAGGGAGGUAGGGGUUGCGGGAACUACCAGUGGAGCGGUGAAAUGCGUUGAUAUUGGUAGGAACGCCGGUGGCGAAAGCGCGCAACUGGACCUCUUCUGACGCUGAGGCGGGAAAGCUAGGGUAGCGAACGGG
RNAcentral lists this ribosomal RNA (253 nucleotides) under uncultured bacterium. RNAcentral describes it as "partial 16S ribosomal RNA". It matches the Rfam family "Bacterial small subunit ribosomal RNA", at positions 524 to 776 of the family's 1533-position model. The record is from RNAcentral.